This 790-nucleotide ribosomal RNA is filed under the name uncultured bacterium. RNAcentral describes it as "bacterial SSU rRNA". It matches the Rfam family "Bacterial small subunit ribosomal RNA", at positions 8 to 795 of the family's 1533-position model. The record is from RNAcentral.
AGAGUUUGAUCCUGGCUCAGGAUGAACGCUAGCGGCAGGCCUAACACAUGCAAGUCGAGGGGUAACAGGGUAGCAAUAUCGCUGACGACCGGCGCACGGGUGAGUAACGCGUAUGUAACCUUCCUUUAACUGGGGCAUAGCCCGGAGAAAUUCGGAUUAAUACCCCAUAACAUUGCGAAGAGGCAUCUUUUUGCAAUUAAAGCUCCGGCGGUUAAAGAUGGGCAUGCGUGCCAUUAGCUAGUUGGUGAGGUAACGGCUCACCAAGGCUACGAUGGUUAGGGGGUCUGAGAGGAUGAUCCCCCACACUGGUACUGAGACACGGACCAGACUCCUACGGGAGGCAGCAGUGAGGAAUAUUGGGCAAUGGGCGCAAGCCUGACCCAGCCAUGCCGCGUGAAGGAUGAAUGCCCUAUGGGUUGUAAACUUCUUUUGUACGGGACGAAUCUCUCGAACGUGUUCGGGACUGACUGUACCGUACGAAUAAGCAUCGGCUAACUCCGUGCCAGCAGCCGCGGUAAUACGGAGGAUGCAAGCGUUAUCCGGAUUCAUUGGGUUUAAAGGGUGCGUAGGCGGAAGAAUAAGUCAGUGGUGAAAGCCUGCGGCUUAACCGUAGAAUUGCCAUUGAUACUGUUUUUCUUGAGUAUAGUUGAAGUGGGCGGAAUGUGUAAUGUAGCGGUGAAAUGCUUAGAUAUUACACAGAACACCAAUUGCGAAGGCAGCUCACUAAGCUGUUACUGACGCUGAGGCACGAAAGCGUGGGGAGCAAACAGGAUUAGAUACCCUGGUAGUC